Molecule: transfer RNA, 86 nt
Filed under: Nitrospirota bacterium
Lineage: Bacteria; Pseudomonadati; Nitrospirota
Also listed under: 1 other name
Description: tRNA-Leu
Rfam family: tRNA
About the family: Transfer RNA (tRNA) molecules are approximately 80 nucleotides in length. Their secondary structure includes four short double-helical elements and three loops (D, anti-codon, and T loops).
Source: RNAcentral
GCCGAAGUGGUGGAAUUUGGUAGACACGCACGUUUGAGGGGCGUGUGGGGCAACCUGUGGGGGUUCAAAUCCCCCCUUCGGCACCA